Colossoma macropomum (tambaqui) is the source of this 2804-nucleotide long non-coding RNA. RefSeq lists it as uncharacterized. The transcript has 3 exons. Lineage: Eukaryota; Metazoa; Chordata; Actinopteri; Characiformes; Serrasalmidae. The record is from RefSeq and is a predicted model, not a curated record.
UGACAUCCGAAGUGCGAAUGUGUGUCGGAUCUCGAAUAUGAACCCAGCUGUUCCGCGCUCAGUAAAGCCAAACAAGAGAGAAAGGAGGUUUUAAAAAAUGAAAUGAGAGCAAAGUAAGUGAUUUAACAUAGUUGCAAAAAUUGUAUGUAAGACUGCAGUGAAGGAGGGAGUAAAGCCAUUCCACUCACAACUUCCAACCUGGGAGUGAUGAUUCCUGAGAGGUAGACAGUGGGAUGCAGGGCUCCUCACCCUAAUUCCUUAAGAAUGGACAGUAAGAUGCAGUGCUCCUCACCCUAAUUCCUGAGGAGUAGACAGUGUGAUGAAGGGCUCCUCACCCUAAUUCCUGAGGAGUGGACAGUGGGAUGCAGUGCUCCUCACCCUUAUUCCUGAAUGGUGGACAGUGGGACGCAGUGCCUCACCCUAAUUCCUGAGGAGUGGACAGUGGGAUGCAGUGCUCCUCACCCUUAUUCCUGAAUGGUGGACAGUGGGACGCAGUGCCUCACCCUAAUUCCUGAGGAGUGGAUAGUGGGACGCAGUGCUCCUCACCCAAAUUCCUGAGGACUGGGCGGUGGGAUGCAGGGCUCCUCACCGUGAUUCCUGAGAGGUGGACAGUGUGAUGCAGUGCUCCUUACCUUAAUUCCUGAGGAGCGAACAGUGGGAUGCAAGGCUCCUCACCCUGAUUCCUGAGAGGUGGACGCUUGACCACUCACACAGUUGUGUAUAUUUUAGUCCACUGGUCGCUAUCCUUACCUGCAGAUCUGCCUUUCUGCAGACUUUAGCUCCAGCACUACCCCACCCCACUUGACCUGUCUUGUUAUUGCCCUCAGUAAUCCUUGAUUAGCUGAAUGAGGCAUGUUAGUUUUAUGCUGGAGGUGAACUGUAGGUCUUUGGUGACCACUAGUUUGGUCUGUUUUUAUUUAUACAGGGAGAUUCACCCGAAAGAGGCCCCGAACAUUCUGUUGUAACUCCCGUUAGGACGAAGCAAUCUGAACCAAAAAAAUACGCUGCAUACCUUGACGUAUGUGUAAUCGAUUGCAUUUUCUGCCAGACACAAGAAGGGGUAUGGGGGUGUGCACCCGGACGUUAAACGUCACAACGGCUGUCCGGCACCUGCCUCAUCGCUCCGAAGCAGGGGCAUCCCGGCUUGUUCGAAGCUCCAUAUACUGAGGAUCACAUUGCACAUUGCAUCAUUCACAUUGCUUUGUCCUAGUGAGAGUUAUUACAGAAUAUUUGGGGCCUCUUUCGAGCGAAUCUCCCUGUACAUGUUAUCAUUGUCUAGUUUCCUUUGCAAAUCUAUACAAAGUUAGCAGGUGUAAAAAGUUUUGCACAGGCAAAGUGGUCCUCCCUAUGAUUUUUAUCCUUCUUUUUCUAUUGCAUUUUUAUGUUUAAUACAGUCUGCACCACUUAACAUACUGACUCUUUUCAAACUUUGUUUUGUAGAUCAGUUUAGCAAGAGGUACUGCACACUGCCCUCCCUUUGUCCUUUUAUGCUGAUAAUCUUAUCUUUACCUUUUAAUAUUAAUCUGAAAAGUGAAAAAUGUUUGCUCGCAUAUUUCAUAUUGCAUAUGCUUACUUUCUUUGGUAGAUCACUGUAGAUCACCUUACAUCACUGUAAGGAUAGAGGGGUAGAAUCUAUGGGAGUUAUAUGCAAAGUUGUAGCCUGUCUACUGUAAAAAACAUAUAAUAAGAAAGAAGUUGAAGUACAGUGUUUGUGUGAUUUGGAUUGAUGAAAUACUUUUGUUCAUUUGACCUAUUUGACUUUGCUUUGUUUCUAUCAAAGUGCUUAUGUUAAACUGCUUGUAAACACAUAAAGUACGUUUAACUGCCUAAACAGUUUUUUACAGUGAACAUUGUAAUGCAUGUCUUUUGUUAUAAUUAAUGUGCACUUAACUCCUGGAAUGACUGUACUACAUGAAAAAUAGAACUCAGGUUUGAUCUGUGUUUAAUUUUGAAUAGGAUAUUUCUAUUAGCUGGGCAAAAUGUUGACUUCAUGUGAGCAUUUAACACACUGCAAAUCUGACCAUUGACAAAAAUGUAAUAAUGUAGGGGUAGGCCACCCACAAUGCACUGUCCAGGCAAGAAUGAAGGAAGCCUUUCUGACAGCCUAACCUGUGAACCUAUCUGAGCCUGUCUGUAUAUUGGUAUUUUUAGUUUUACAGUUGAGGCACAUUUCCUGAAGUGGUGCCCCUGCUUUCUCGAAACACACUGCACCAGUGGAUUUCAGUUCUAGUCUUGGAGAUCCACUGUCCUGCACAGUUUAUGAUAUUCUCUGUCUCUAACACACUUGACCCAUCUAGAGUUAUGAGUUGGAUCACGUUUUGGUGUAGGAGUUGGUGAAACUAUGCAGGGAAGUGGGUCCUCAGGACUGAGAUUGGAAAUGUGGACGAUUUUCUACAUGAUUCUGAAUGUAAUCAGUGUGGCUGAUUUAAGCCUGUGAUUAUUUCUUUUAAUAUAUUAUAUUACUCACUUUUUGGAAAUAAUGGAGGAAUGUGUGUGAAGUAUUGGAAAUCAUCCUAAGAGACGCAGUAUUUUUAGAACAGGUCAAGGACAACUAAAAGAAACAAUGUAUCUGAAUGUUGAUAUUGUAUGUUUAUUCAAACAUAAUGGUAUUUAAUUAAGUCAGAAUGUCAUGUGACUGAUAAUUGGUAGUCAAAUCAAGUGAUAUGAGGUAAUUGGGAGGGGCGGGGAAGGAGUCAUGUGAUGACUCCUCUUUGGCCCAGAACUGUUUCAAAGAGGACUGAAUUUUGUAUGCACUUUAGUUGAUUCUCAAGACAACUCAGAUUAAUGCUUGUCUGUUUGUUUGU